CAAGUUUCCAUGUGUUAGGGUUAAGGGUUAGGAUUAGAAGUUAUGGUUAGGGUUUUAGGGUUAGGAUUAGAGGUUAGGGUUAAGGGUUGGGGUAAGGGUUAGGGGUUAUGGUUAAGAUUAGGAUUAGGGGUUAGGGUUAAGGGUUAGGGUUUAAAGGUUAGGAUUUUGGGUUAGGAUUAGGAUUAAGGGGUUAAGCGGUAGUGGUUAGGAUUAAGGGUUAGGUUAGGGUUGCGGUAAGGGUUAGUGGUUAUGGUUUAGGAUUAGGGGUUAGGAUUAGGGGUUAGGGUUAAUGGUUAGGGCUGGGGUAAGAGUUAGUGGUUAUGGUUUAGGAUUAGGGUUAAGGGUUAGGAUUAGGGUUGGGGUAAGGGUUAGUGGUUAUGGUUUAGGAUUAGGGGUUAGGGUUAAGGGUUAAGAUUAGGCGUUAGGGUUAAGGGUUAGGAUUAGGGUUGUGGUAAGGGUUAGUGGUUAUGGUUUAGGAUUAGGGGUUAUGGUUAAUGGCUGCGGUUGAGGUAAGGGUUAGUGGUUAUGGUUUAGGAUCAGGGGUUAGGGUUAGGAUUAGGAUUAGGGUUGGGAUAGGGUAAAUGGUUAUGGUUAAGGGUUAGGAUUAGGGGUUAGGGUUAGGAUAAAGGGGUUAAGCGUUAGAGGUUAGGGUUAAGUUAGGAUUACGG
Long non-coding RNA from Ictalurus punctatus (channel catfish), 668 nucleotides. Lineage: Eukaryota; Metazoa; Chordata; Actinopteri; Siluriformes; Ictaluridae. The record is from Ensembl.